UACCUGGGGGGCAAGCGUUGUUCGGAAUUAUUGGGCGUAAAGAGUAUGUAGGCGGCUAUUUAAGUCAGGCGUGCAAGCCCACGGCUCAACCGUGGAAUUGCGUUUGAAACUAUUUAGCUUGAGUACAGGAGAGGAAGGCGGAAUUCCCAGUGUAGCGGUGAAAUGCAUUGAUAUUGGGAAGAACACCGGUGGCGAAGGCGGCCUUCUGGUCUAAUACUGACGCUGAGAUACGAAAGCCAGGGGAGCGAACGGG
This 253-nucleotide ribosomal RNA is filed under the name uncultured bacterium. RNAcentral describes it as "partial 16S ribosomal RNA". It matches the Rfam family "Bacterial small subunit ribosomal RNA", at positions 524 to 776 of the family's 1533-position model. The record is from RNAcentral.